Molecule: non-coding RNA, 23 nt
Filed under: Arabidopsis thaliana (thale cress)
Lineage: Eukaryota; Viridiplantae; Streptophyta; Magnoliopsida; Brassicales; Brassicaceae
Source: RNAcentral
UGACUUGCCAUUUCAGUCAUGUC